AGAGAACGCUGGCGGUAGGCCUAACACAUGCAAGUCGAACGGCAGCACAGGAGAGCUUGCUCUCUGGGUGGCGAGUGGCGGACGGGUGAGGAAUACAUCGGAAUCUACUCUGUCGUGGGGGAUAACGUAGGGAAACUUACGCUAAUACCGCAUACGACCUACGGGUGAAAGCAGGGGACCUUCGGGCCUUGCGCGAUUGAAUGAGCCGAUGUCGGAUUAGGCUAGUUGGCGGGGUAAAGGCCCACCAAGGCGACGAUCCGUAGCUGGUCUGAGAGGAUGGUCAGCCACACUGGAGCUGAGACACGGUCCAGACUCCUACGGGAGGCAGCAGUGGGGAAUAUUGGACAAUGGGCGCAAGCCUGAUCCAGCCAUACCGCGUGGGUGAAGAAGGCCUUCGGGUUGUAAAGCCCUUUUGUUGGGAAAGAAAUCCAGCUGGCUAAUACCCGGUUGGGAUGACGGUACCCAAAGAAUAAGCACCGGCUAACUUCGUGCCAGCCGCCGCCGUAA
Molecule: ribosomal RNA, 507 nt
Filed under: uncultured bacterium
Lineage: Bacteria
Description: partial 16S ribosomal RNA
Rfam family: Bacterial small subunit ribosomal RNA
Source: RNAcentral